RNAcentral lists this unclassified non-coding RNA (215 nucleotides) under Hevea brasiliensis (rubber tree). The record is from RNAcentral. Lineage: Eukaryota; Viridiplantae; Streptophyta; Magnoliopsida; Malpighiales; Euphorbiaceae.
AACCUCAUUGCUUGUCUAUUUUCUUUCUAAUCUGCAAAGAAAUGAAGUCCCAUAAAAAUAAAAUAAAUUAUUACUAGUAGAAAACAAAACAACAAAACUCUCUAAGGCCAGUCCAAAUAGAACCCCUACAGCCUCAAAAUAGAAAAAUCUUAUACUCAGAUUCACCCAUCCGUGCAAAGUGAAAAUAAAAUAAAAUAUAGCAAAAAAAAAAAAAA